RNAcentral lists this transfer RNA (60 nucleotides) under Gammarus wautieri. RNAcentral describes it as "tRNA-Met". Lineage: Eukaryota; Metazoa; Arthropoda; Malacostraca; Amphipoda; Gammaridae. The record is from RNAcentral.
UAAAAGAUAAGCUAACUAAGCUGAAGGCUUCAUACCCCUUUUAUGGUCCUCCUCUUUUAA